Molecule: long non-coding RNA, 356 nt
Organism: Zophobas morio
Lineage: Eukaryota; Metazoa; Arthropoda; Insecta; Coleoptera; Tenebrionidae
Exons: 4
Source: RefSeq, a predicted model, not a curated record
CUUUCUGAACUUUCUGAUCGUGAAGUUUUUGAGAAGUCAUUAAUAAAUUUGUGGUCCCAAACGAAAGGCUUUCUUGUUCUUAUUGAAUAUGGAAACAAAACUGGUUUUCAAACUAUAACAGUUGCGAGAAAUAUUUUGUUGCGUUUGAGUAAUGCGAAACUCAUUUCUCCAUGUCCGCAUUCUUUUUCUUGUCCAAAAAUUGGGGAGGAACGCACAUGCUUUUUUGUGCAGAACUCCGAAUUUCCUUCGAAAACUGUUUUAAACCAAAAAGUGAAGAAGAAAGGGGUUUUUCGAGAGCACUUUUCUUUUCUUAUUAUUGAAAAAAGGGAACAUUCGAAAAUAUCCGGAAGUGAUGA